Molecule: ribosomal RNA, 278 nt
Filed under: uncultured Sphingobacteriales bacterium
Lineage: Bacteria; Pseudomonadati; Bacteroidota; Sphingobacteriia; Sphingobacteriales
Description: partial 16S ribosomal RNA
Rfam family: Bacterial small subunit ribosomal RNA
Source: RNAcentral
UUAUCGUUAGUUGCCAGCUGGUAAAGCAGGGGACUCUAGCGAAACUGCCACCGUAAGGUGAGAGGAAGGUGGGGAUGACGUCAAAUCAGCACGGCCCUUAUGUCCAGGGCUACACACGUGUUACAAUGGCCGGCACAGAGGGCAGCUACCUGGUGACAGGAUGCUAAUCUCGAAAACCGGUCUCAGUUCGGAUCGAAGUCUGCAACUCGACUUCGUGAAGCUGGAUUCGCUAGUAAUCGCGCAUCAGCCAUGGCGCGGUGAAUACGUUCCCGGGCCUU